This 467-nucleotide ribosomal RNA is filed under the name uncultured bacterium. RNAcentral describes it as "partial 16S ribosomal RNA". It matches the Rfam family "Bacterial small subunit ribosomal RNA", at positions 29 to 507 of the family's 1533-position model. The record is from RNAcentral.
ACGAACGUUGGCGGCGUGCUUAACACCUGCAAGUCGAACGGAAAGGCCCUGCUUUUGUGGGGUGCUCGAGUGGCGAACGGGUGAGUAACACGUGAGUAACCUGCCCUUGACUUUGGGAUAACUUCAGGAAACUGGGGCUAAUACCGGAUAGGAGCUCCUGCUGCAUGGUGGGGGUUGGAAAGUUUCGGCGGUUGGGGAUGGACUCGCGGCUUAUCAGCUUGUUGGUGGGGUAGUGGCUUACCAAGGCUUUGACGGGUAGCCGGCCUGAGAGGGUGACCGGCCACAUUGGGACUGAGAUACGGCCCAGACUCCUACGGGAGGCAGCAGUGGGGAAUAUUGCACAAUGGGCGGAAGCCUGAUGCAGCAACGCCGCGUGCGGGAUGACGGCCUUCGGGUUGUAAACCGCUUUCGCCUGUGACGAAGCGUGAGUGACGGUAAUGGGUAAAGAAGCACCGGCUAACUACGUG